GGGAACCACUGGAAUCGGCUGCUGUGUUAUGUCUAACCCAUAGCGGAGACACUCAGCAGCUAUGUUAGGAAAAUGAGAAAGAAUCUUCUCUUUGGGCUUGUGACUGAUAUCAAGAAGAACAUACUCUUCACCACGCUUUUUGAGCUGGUCAUCAAUACUUCUUGCUACCACAUCUCUUGGGGCAAGCUCGGCUCUUUCAUCAUACGAUGGCAUGAAUCUCUCCAUAUCUAAGUUGUAAAGAAUGCCUCCAUCACCUCUGACAGCUUCAGUUAUCAGAAAAGCAUUCUCUCUGGCAUUUGAUGGUCUGAUGGGAAGGCCUUCAUCAGCCAAGGCAGUCG
Molecule: unclassified non-coding RNA, 338 nt
Filed under: Hevea brasiliensis (rubber tree)
Lineage: Eukaryota; Viridiplantae; Streptophyta; Magnoliopsida; Malpighiales; Euphorbiaceae
Source: RNAcentral